Molecule: ribosomal RNA, 1213 nt
Filed under: uncultured microorganism
Description: bacterial SSU rRNA
Rfam family: Bacterial small subunit ribosomal RNA
Source: RNAcentral
AGCUGUUUCGAAGAAGAAGGACCAGUCCACAUGGAGCUGAGAACUGGCUAGAAUCCUACGGAAGGCAGCAGUGGGAUUUGGGACAAUUGGGGCCACUGAUCAGCAAUGCCGGCGUGAGGGAAGAAGGCUCGGUUGUAAGCUCUUUUGUCAGGGAAGAAACGGUCCGGGCUAAAUAUCCUGGGCUAAUGACGGUACUGAAGAAAUAAGCACCGGGCUAACUACGUGCAGCAGCCGCGGGUAAUACGUAGGGUGCGAGCGUUAAUCGGAAUUACUGGGCGUAAAGCGUGCGCAGGCGGUUGUGCAAGACAGAUGUGAAAUCCCCGGGCUCAACCUGGGAAUUGCAUUUGUGACUGCACGGCUAGAGUGUGUCAGAGGGGGGUAGAAUUCCACGUGUAGCAGUGAAAUGCGUAGAGAUGUGGAGGAAUACCGAUGGCGAAGGCAGCCCCCUGGGAUAACACUGACGCUCAUGCACGAAAGCGUGGGGAGCAAACAGGAUUAGAUACCCUGGUAGUCCACGCCCUAAACGAUGUCAACUAGUUGUCGGGUCUUAAUUGACUUGGUAACGCAGCUAACGCGUGAAGUUGACCGCCUGGGGAGUACGGUCGCAAGAUUAAAACUCAAAGGAAUUGACGGGGACCCGCACAAGCGGUGGAUGAUGUGGAUUAAUUCGAUGCAACGCGAAAAACCUUACCUACCCUUGACAUGGCAGGAAUCCUUGAGAGAUCAGGGAGUGCUCGAAAGAGAACCUGCACACAGGUGCUGCAUGGCUGUCGUCAGCUCGUGUCGUGAGAUGUUGGGUUAAGUCCCGCAACGAGCGCAACCCUUGUCAUUAGUUGCUACGAAAGGGCACUCUAAUGAGACUGCCGGUGACAAACCGGAGGAAGGUGGGGAUGACGUCAAGUCCUCAUGGCCCUUAUGGGUAGGGCUUCACACGUCAUACAAUGGUACAUACAGAGGGCCGCCAACCCGCGAGGGGGAGCUAAUCCCAGAAAGUGUAUCGUAGUCCGGAUUGGAGUCUGCAACUCGACUCCAUGAAGUUGGAAUCGCUAGUAAUCGCGGAUCAGCAUGUCGCGGUGAAUACGUUCCCGGGUCUUGUACACACCGCCCGUCACACCAUGGGAGCGGGUUUUACCAGAAGUAGGUAGCUUAACCGCAAGGAGGGCGCUUACCACGGUAGGAUUCGUGACUGGGGUGAAGUCGUAACAAGGUAACC